Molecule: ribosomal RNA, 500 nt
Filed under: uncultured bacterium
Lineage: Bacteria
Description: partial 16S ribosomal RNA
Rfam family: Bacterial small subunit ribosomal RNA
Source: RNAcentral
AUUGAACGCUGGCGGCAUGCCUUACACAUGCAAGUCGAACGGAUUCAAGGGGCUUGCUCCUUGAGUUAGUGGCGAACGGGUGAGUAAUGCAUCGGAACGUACCCAGUUGUGGGGGAUAACGUAGCGAAAGUUACGCUAAUACCGCAUACGACCUGAGGGUGAAAGCGGGGGAUCGCAAGACCUCGCGCAAUUGGAGCGGCCGAUGUCAGAUUAGCUAGUUGGUAGGGUAAAAGCCUACCAAGGCGACGAUCUGUAGCUGGUCUGAGAGGACGACCAGCCACACUGGGACUGGGACACGGACCAGACUCCUACGGGAGGCAGCAGUGGGGAAUUUUGGACAAUGGGGGAAACCCUGAUCCAGCCAUGCCGCGUGAGUGAAGAAGGCCUUCGGGUUGUAAAGCUCUUUCGGACAGAAAGAAAUCUUUUGGGCUAAUACCCUGAGAGGAUGACGGUACUGUAAGAAGAAGCACCGGCUAACUACGUGCCAGCCGCCGCAGUAA